UUUUGCAGAGCACGACUUACAUCAACGGAGAAAACAUCAUGCCCUCUGCGGAUAUGAAAGAGAUGGUGACCCGUUACCAGGAGCUGUCAGUAGCUUUUGAUUCCAGCAAUUUAACAAACAAACAACUCAGUGCAGAGAUAGAGGAAUUGGUUAACGCUACUAGGAGUUUCAUCGGCCUUGUAAGUGAGAUC
This is a non-coding RNA of Thamnophis sirtalis, 191 nucleotides long. NCBI's taxonomy places the organism in Eukaryota, Metazoa, Chordata, Lepidosauria, Squamata, Natricidae. The record is from RefSeq and is a predicted model, not a curated record.